CCCGCCCGGCCCCAACGGCCCCAACUCCCGUCUCCUCCCAGUCCCCCGGAGCCGACCAGUGGUGGCGGCAGCCCCAGGUCCCGGGUCCCUCAGACAAAAAGGCGGGUGGAGGAGGAGUAGCCGAGCCCAGAGUCCUGCUCCGGCGCCGCCGAGCACCGCCCGCCUCAGCCGACCAGCCCCGUCGGCUACUGGGCCUAGCCUAGAGGAGAGGAGGGAAAGGCCGCGGAGGCCGCGAGGAGACGGCUGGGGCGCCAGCGGCCGGCUGCCGCCUAGUUGUGCUGCCCGGACCAAGGAAGGAGAAGUGGGAGGAGCGGGGAGCUCAGCGGCUCAGGACGACGACGCUCGCCACAUCCGGGACCCUCCGGCCGUGGCGGUCGCAGCGCCGGCAGCUCGGGCCUCAGCCCCUGCCUCUGUGGUGACUCCGCCGCGCUUCGACGUCGCCCCUGUCCCCGUCCCGCCCGCCGCCCCCGCCAACCCCGCCGCCGGGGACAUGUCCAACCCCUGAAGCCGGAGGAACGGGCCAGUCAGACUGCGCCCGACAGGAGGUGAAGUGAAAUCUGCAAGAGUCCUGCUCGUUCAAGGCCUGCAUACAGGAAAGAAGCAGGGGAAAAGCGUUAGAAACAGCUUUUGUUCUACAGCAUUUUAAAAUAUAAUAGGUAUAUUGAAAAGUCUGAUUCAGUUACAAUCAGUGUAUGGAAUCACAAGAAGAUCCAUAAGAAACAAGGUGCUGGAUUUCUCCGUUGUGUUCGUCUUUUUCCAGUGCCAUCAACCACCUCAAAGACACUGGUUAUCAGAGGUUGGAUUUAUGCAAACUUGGGCCAAAGGACAGUUAGAAGACAGUAGUAAGUCUUCAGUCCAGGGACCAAAUCGGCACAGGAGGACAAGUUGUGGACUGCAGUCAUUUAUUUGAUAAUGAUUUACCAGACAACUGAAGAAGCAUCUGUAGGGAAUCCAGAAGGAGCAUUCAUGAAGAUGUUACAAGCCCGGAAGCAGCACAUGAGCACUGAGCUGACUAUUGAGUCGGAGGCGCCCUCAGACAGCAGUGGCAUCAACUUGUCAGGCUUUGGGAGUGAGCAGCUAGACACCAAUGACGAGAGUGAUGUUAGCAGCGCACUAAGUUACAUCUUGCCUUAUCUCUCACUGAGAAAUCUAGGUGAUCAGCUUGAAAUUCAGCUAACCGAGCAGCUACGGUCCCUCAUCCCCAACGAGGAUGUGAGAAAGUUCAUGUCUCAUGUUAUCUGGACCUUGAAAAUGGAAUGUUCAGAAACACAUGUGCAAGGGAGCUGUGCCAAGCUCAUGUCGCGAACAGGCCUCCUGAUGAAGCUUCUCAGCGAGCAGCAGGAAGCAAAGGCAUUGAAUGUAGAAUGGGAUACGGACCAACAAAAAACAAAUUAUAUUAAUGAGAACAUGGAACAGAAUGAACAGAAAGAGCAGAAGUCAAGUGAGGUGAGGAGCACACAGAAACAUGAGACCCAGAUUUCCCAUCAUUUAGCAUAUGCCAGGAAAGUGCCCACAUAGGAGAACCUGGGACUCCCAGGCCAUAGCUU
RNAcentral lists this long non-coding RNA (1547 nucleotides) under Homo sapiens (human). Its description in RNAcentral is "non-protein coding lnc-RNF135-1:6". Lineage: Eukaryota; Metazoa; Chordata; Mammalia; Primates; Hominidae. The record is from RNAcentral.